CCCCAGGAGGAAGGGGGGACUGCUAGCAGCAUAGGAUUGAGGGGUUGGAAGAGACCUUUAGAACAGCUGGUCGUUAUGCCAACCGGGUGUCCGCACUAAGUUCAGCAUUAAAAUGGUGACCUCCUGGGAGCAGGGGGCCACCAGGUUGCCUAAGGAUGAGUGAACUGGCACAAAUCAGAAAGGGAGCAGGUCAGAACUCCCACACCGACCAGUAGUGGGACUGUGCCUGGGCAAUAUAGCAAGAUCUUGGUUUUUAAAAGGAAAAUAAAGAACAGCAUCUCAUUCCC
Pan paniscus (pygmy chimpanzee) is the source of this 287-nucleotide unclassified non-coding RNA. It matches the Rfam family "Metazoan signal recognition particle RNA". Rfam says of the family: The signal recognition particle (SRP) is a universally conserved ribonucleoprotein. It is involved in the co-translational targeting of proteins to membranes. The eukaryotic SRP consists of a 300-nucleotide 7S RNA and six proteins: SRPs 72, 68, 54, 19, 14, and 9. Lineage: Eukaryota; Metazoa; Chordata; Mammalia; Primates; Hominidae. The record is from Ensembl.